RNAcentral lists this ribosomal RNA (253 nucleotides) under uncultured bacterium. Its description in RNAcentral is "partial 16S ribosomal RNA". It matches the Rfam family "Bacterial small subunit ribosomal RNA", at positions 524 to 776 of the family's 1533-position model. The record is from RNAcentral.
UACGAAGGGGGCUAGCGUUGCUCGGAAUCACUGGGCGUAAAGGGUGCGUAGGCGGGUCUUUAAGUCGAGGGUGAAAUCCUGGAGCUCAACUCCAGAACUGCCUUCGAUACUGAGAGUCUCGAGUCCGGGAGAGGUGAGUGGAACUGCGAGUGUAGAGGUGAAAUUCGUAGAUAUUCGCAAGAACACCAGUGGCGAAGGCGGCUCACUGGCCCGGUACUGACGCUGAGGUGCGAAAGCGUGGGGAGCAAACAGG